GUCGUAUUAACUAGCAUGCGACGCAAGACAGCUAUGUGCGUCGUAUGGGCCAAAAAUGCGACGCACAAAACAGAAGCUAUGCGCGUCGCAUGAAGCCCACGUGCGACGCAGAUGGCCCAAGAUUUUUAAAACUCGCUCCCAUCCACUAUUUUCCCCAAACCUUUACCUACCCUUUCACUAUUUUCACAGUCGUUUCCACUCUCCUCUCUCUCACACAGAUAGAAUUCUCUUCAAAUCCCCCCAAGUUCGCACAAAAAAACUCCAAUUCACCACUACCAAUUACAUCAAAAUUUCUCAAAUCAUCUCCUUACAAAAUUUCCCUCAAUUUCUCAAGUUCGCACACAAAACUUCAAUUCACUUGCUUCGAAUUUGUACAAAUCGCCAUUUUCGCAUGAAGGUCGUCUGCUUCUUUGGAGAAAUCAAGAGAGAGGAUGUUUAAAUAUAGUUGCUUGAAGGUUGCCAUUUUUGCAUGAAGGAGGAAGAACGAAAAGUUCGAACAAAAUGACGGAUAAUUUGGCGAUUUAGAUCUGAAAUUUUUGGAGAUUUAUUUUGCAUGUCCCUUGGUGUUUUUCGUUUUAUGUAUGUAAUGAGAUCUGAUUUUAUUAUUUUGUUUUUCAAUUUUUAAUUUUAUAGAGAUUAUGGCUUAACUAUUU
Long non-coding RNA from Beta vulgaris subsp. vulgaris (sugar beet), 653 nucleotides. RefSeq lists it as uncharacterized. Lineage: Eukaryota; Viridiplantae; Streptophyta; Magnoliopsida; Caryophyllales; Amaranthaceae. The transcript is spliced from 2 exons. The record is from RefSeq and is a predicted model, not a curated record.